UACGUAGGGUGCAAGCGUUAAUCGGAAUUACUGGGCGUAAAGCGUGCGCAGGCGGCUUUGCAAGACAGAUGUGAAAUCCCCGGGCUUAACCUGGGAACUGCAUUCGGGACUGCUUUGCUAGAGUAUGGGAGAGGGAAGUGGAAUUUCAGGUGUAGCGGUGAAAUGCGUAGAUAUCUGAAGGAACAUCAGUGGCGAAAGCGACUUCCUGGACCAAUACUGACGCUCAUGUGCGAAAGCGUGGGGAGCAAACAGG
RNAcentral lists this ribosomal RNA (253 nucleotides) under uncultured bacterium. Its description in RNAcentral is "partial 16S ribosomal RNA". It matches the Rfam family "Bacterial small subunit ribosomal RNA", at positions 524 to 776 of the family's 1533-position model. The record is from RNAcentral.